GGCCAGGUGGCGGAGUGGUAACGCAUGCGAGACAAAUACAGGGCCUGCAAUGUUUCCUUGCAAGGUCUCCAUUCGAUUCGGGGUCUGGCCU
Molecule: non-coding RNA, 91 nt
Organism: Mycena metata
Lineage: Eukaryota; Fungi; Basidiomycota; Agaricomycetes; Agaricales; Mycenaceae
Source: the annotation of a GenBank genome assembly